Molecule: ribosomal RNA, 270 nt
Filed under: uncultured bacterium
Lineage: Bacteria
Description: partial 16S ribosomal RNA
Rfam family: Bacterial small subunit ribosomal RNA
Source: RNAcentral
CCGGCGACCGGCGCACGGGUGAGUAACACGUAUGCAACCUGGCCGUGACAGAUGGAUAACCGGGAGAAAUCCCGCCUAAUACAACAUAAUGCCGGGAGGGGACAUCCCCUGCCGGUCAAAGGGGGCGACCCCGGUCACGGAUGGGCAUGCGGCGCAUUAGGUAGUUGGUGGGGCAACGGCCCACCAAGCCGACGAUGCGUAGGGGUUCUGAGAGGAAGGUCCCCCACAUUGGAACUGAGACACGGUCCAAACUCCUACGGAAGGCAGCAG